Molecule: ribosomal RNA, 253 nt
Filed under: uncultured bacterium
Lineage: Bacteria
Description: partial 16S ribosomal RNA
Rfam family: Bacterial small subunit ribosomal RNA
Source: RNAcentral
UACGGGGGGGGCAAGCGUUGUUCGGAAUUACUGGGCGUAAAGGGCGCGUAGGCGGCCGUUUGCGUCGGAUGUGAAAGCUCGGGGCUCAACCCCGGAACGGCAUCCGAUACGGGACGGCUGGAGACCGGGAGAGGAGGGUGGAAUAGCCAGUGUAGAGGUGAAAUUCGUAGAUAUUGGCUGGAACACCGGUGGCGAAAGCGGCUCUCUGGCCCGGUUCUGACGCUGAGGCGCGAAAGCGUGGGGAGCAAACAGG